CCCGCGGCUGCUCCCGAGGUUGGGGAUGAUGAGGCCCUGGACGCCCCCGCACCUGCGUCCAGCCCAGUCCAGCCCAGCCUGUGGCCUCUCCUCCCCGGUGCCCGCCCCGCGAACCCCGAAGCCACAAGCCUUACAGUGCGGCACGGCGCUCCGGGAGCGCAUGGUUCUCGGCCACCGGCCCCGGCUCUCCUCCACCUCCUAGUCCCGCCCGCGGGCGCGGCACCCCAGGACUGCAACAGCGCGGCGGCUGGGGACUGACUGAGCCGGGAGCUCCUGGCUCGGCCAGUGAAGCUGCCCCACAGGGGCGGGGCGGCCUCCCCCGGCCCGGCCUCCCUCCAAUGGGAGGGCAGCCCGGAGCCCCGGCCCCGCCCUGCCGGGCUAGCUGUCACCGCGGACCGGCGCACGUGGGCUGGAGCUGCCCCUGCUGCCGGGCCCUGGAGGAGUGCCGGGGGGAGGAACUGGCCCCAGCGCUAGCCCAGCCCGCUUGGGGAAAGCGGGCCCGCCCCACUGCAAAAGCACGCAGCAGCCUGGGGCGAGCCUCUAAGUACAAAGUCCUUUCUGGAGUCUUCGGAAUCUCUAACAUCAGACUCUUCCGCUCGGCUCUCACUGCGACGCGGGAUCUCAUCACCUCUCUUUUGAGCUUUUAUAAUUAGCUGCUAACUGACCUGUCUUCAAUGUGUUUUCUCUCCCAUUCAUUCUUCACCCACGUUGCGUAAUCAACCUGACACGCUAUUAUGGUCGUGGACGCUGGUUGGUUCCAAACCCUUUUAGUGCUUCCCCCUUUGCCAAUGAAAUGAAGUACAAACUACUGAUCUAGGCAUUUGAGGGCCUUCGCUGCCUGACUGGAAGUAGAUACAUAAACCAUACAUAUGAUAAUUUGAAGCGUAGGGAGAGAACCCUAAACUGAGAGAAUCAGGAAAUGCUUCCCUGGGAGAUGGCAUAGAAAAUGAGCCUGGAGGCCUGCUGGUGCCAGCUAGCACUGGCUUCCAAGAGAUCCGAUUGUUAAGGGUUUUUUGUAAGCAUUUCGGCAAAUGCUACAAAUCGGGGCUUAAUUUAUUGUUGUGCUGAUCGACUAGACAUAAGAAAGCGCUGGAUGUUAAUCAUGUAGAUCACACUUAAAAGUGAGGCAUACACAUUCCAAGCCCCCCACCCCCACCUCAGUUGUUGUUAAUGAUUUACAGGCACACCCCAGGAUGAGCCUUGAAGGAAGAUAGAGAUUGUAAGAGGCAGAAAUAAAGUGAUAGUACAUUCU
This 1252-nucleotide long non-coding RNA is filed under the name Phascolarctos cinereus (koala). Its description in RNAcentral is "lncRNA (ENSPCIG00000035930.1)". The record is from RNAcentral. Lineage: Eukaryota; Metazoa; Chordata; Mammalia; Diprotodontia; Phascolarctidae.